GACCAUCACGCCAUUAAAUAAACUAGUAAAUGUAACCCGUAGUCACUAUUUACGUUUUUUUCCCUAGAACAGACAUGGAAAAGAUGAAAAGAUGGUUCUACAAAUAUCUGCAGCAGAUAUUCUUUAAUGUAGAAAGAAAGGAUGUCCAUGGACAUAUAUUCCUCUUAUACUCAUGCUUCCAGGCUGAAAUGGUCUGAAAUCUUUAAAGAGAAAACAAUAUCUUAUGGAUACUAUGUUGAUUUAUACAGGCAGCAGUAUGCCAUUGCCUACAGAUUAUAAAAUGUAGUCUUGUGGCAAAACAAUACCUAUGUUAACAUUAAUGGCAAGAUUAUUCUUGACUUCAAUGAGGGAAGUAUUUCAAGUCUUUCUUUUAGUGUUUAAAACUCACAAAGUGUAGUUGCAUCUAAGGAACCUUAAAACAAGGCAGAUAUUAGUGUUUCUUUAAGAAGAGACACUUUUUCUUUUCCGUAUGUUUGUAAACUUCCUGGCUAUUAUUUUAUAUCCAGAAUAAUAUAUAUGAUAAUAUAUAUAAU
Molecule: long non-coding RNA, 533 nt
Organism: Gavialis gangeticus (Gharial)
Lineage: Eukaryota; Metazoa; Chordata; Crocodylia; Gavialidae
Exons: 2
Source: RefSeq, a predicted model, not a curated record